Molecule: ribosomal RNA, 118 nt
Filed under: Rattus norvegicus (Norway rat)
Lineage: Eukaryota; Metazoa; Chordata; Mammalia; Rodentia; Muridae
Source: RNAcentral
GUCUACGGCCACACCAUUUUGAAUGCACCUGAUCUUGUCUAAUCUCGUAAGCUAAGAGGGUCAGACCUGGUUAGGACUUGGAUGGGAGACUGCUGGGGACUACCAGGUACUGUAGGCU